RNAcentral lists this ribosomal RNA (365 nucleotides) under uncultured bacterium. RNAcentral describes it as "bacterial SSU rRNA". It matches the Rfam family "Bacterial small subunit ribosomal RNA", at positions 282 to 658 of the family's 1533-position model. The record is from RNAcentral.
GGUAGCCGGCCUGAGUAGGGCGACCGGCCACACUGGGACUGAGACACGGCCCAGACUCCUACGGGAGGCAGCAGUGGGGAAUAUUGCGCAAUGGGCGAAAGCCUGACGCAGCRACGCCGCGUGAGGGAUGACGGCCUUCGGGUUGUAAACCUCUUUCAGCAGGGACGAAGCGAAAGUGACUGUACCUGCAGAAGAAGCGCCGGCUAACUACGUGCCAGCAGCCGCGGUAAUACGUAGGGCGCAAGCGUUGUCCGGAUUUAUUGGGCGUAAAGAGUUCGUAGGCGGUYUGUCGCGUCGGAAGUGAAAACCCGGAGCUCAACUCCGGGCCUGCUUUCGAUACGGGCAGACUUGAGUGUUGCAGGGGA